This 468-nucleotide ribosomal RNA is filed under the name uncultured bacterium. Its description in RNAcentral is "partial 16S ribosomal RNA". It matches the Rfam family "Bacterial small subunit ribosomal RNA", at positions 28 to 507 of the family's 1533-position model. The record is from RNAcentral.
GACGAACGCUGGCGGCGUGCUUAACACAUGCAAGUCGAACGGAAAGGCCCUGCUUUUGUGGGGUGCUCGAGUGGCGAACGGGUGAGUAACACGUGAGUAACCUGCCCUUGACUUUGGGAUAACUUCAGGCAACUGGGGCUAAUACCGGAUAGGAGCUCCUGCUGCAUGGUGGGGGUUGGAAAGUUUCGGCGGUUGGGGAUGGACUCGGGGCUUAUCAGCUUGUUGGUGGGGUAGUGGCUUACCAAGGCUUUGACGGGUAGCCGGCCUGAGAGGGUGACCGGCCACAUUGGGACUGAGAUACGGCCCAGACUCCUACGGGAGGCAGCAGUGGGGAAUAUUGCACAAUGGGCGGAAGCCUGAUGCAGCAACGCCGCGUGCGGGAUGACGGCCUUCGGGUUGUAAACCGCUUUCGCCUGUGACGAAGCGUGAGUGACGGUAUUGGGUAAAGAAGCACCGGCUAACUACGUG